RNAcentral lists this long non-coding RNA (2351 nucleotides) under Lathyrus oleraceus (garden pea). Its description in RNAcentral is "Pisum sativum (pea) long non-coding RNA (PSAT_LNC010771)". The record is from RNAcentral. Lineage: Eukaryota; Viridiplantae; Streptophyta; Magnoliopsida; Fabales; Fabaceae.
UGAAGCUGAGAGGUCAUUGCAUGGAGGGGUGUAAUCGGUUCGGUCUGGACCGGUUUUUGGUCAAUAAAAGGUCCGAACCGAUGAUAUCUUCAUUGGUUUGAUUUGGUUUUUAAUAUUUUUCAAAAAUGGAACCGAACUAAAUGGUUUGGUUCGGUUUGAUUUGGUUUGGUUGAUCGGUUUAUAGUAUUUAAAAAAAAUAAUUAUAUUCAUAGUAUAUUCUCCACUAUUGUAUUUUUUUAUCUAUUUUAUGCUAUUGUUUUUAAAAUAAUACAUUUCAUGAAAUUUGUUUCAUAAUCUAUUGUUUCAAACAAAUUACAAGUCCAUCUUAAUCAAUAUGAAACAGGGACAUGAUUUUCCUUGCAUCAUGAAAUAAGCUCAUUAUCAAAUAUAAGUUGACACUUGGUAUCAAAGUCAAAUAUACAAGUUGACAUUUACUAUCAAAAUCAAAUAUAAAAGUUGACACUUGACAACAAAAGGUAGGUUGGGAAGAGAUUUGAAAUCUUAACAAAUAGAAGGAAGUGUAAAUAAAAUGGAAAAUGGUUGGACCGAUAAAUAUUUUGGGUUUAAUGAUAAGUGGAACAAGAGAUUUAGAGCUUUAUGAUAUAUAUUGGUUCGGUUUUGCGAUUUUGCGGUUCUUAAAAAUUAAAAUCGAGAACCAAACCAAACCACAUCGAUUUUUAUUGAUUUGGUUUAGUUUUAAAAUUGAACCGGAAACAAUCAGUUUUAUUUUUGUUAGGUUUAGUUUGGAUUCGGUUUAAUUAAUUUUUUCUUAUCUGCUUACACCCCUAAUUUUAUGAUAGCGCACUCUUCUUGAUCAUUGUCACUAGAGAUCCACCCCUAAUUGUAUGAUAGCACACUCUUCUUGAUCAUUGUCACUUAGAGAUCCACCUUUCUCCAUUAUAAAACUCCAAUAAAGAAAAGACGAGUUUUGUUGAAUUUUUGGAUGUGAUUCGGAUCCAUGAUUGUUUUGGUGGUGGUGUUGCUUGAGCUCACUGACGUUGUUUGGUGAAUGUCAGUGACGGUGGUGAUUUCUUUGGUUGAGGUCAGUUAUUGGAAAUGGAAUGUAACCAGAAAAUAGUGGAUUGGACACUUAUUGUUUUUUAGCACCUGCCAAAAAGAGGAGUAAAGAAUAAAAUAGUGAAGUUGGCUAUAACAUAUAGAACAAUAAAUCGAAUUUGAAUCAGUUUUAUACUAUUUUACUAAAAUAAACAUGUUUAACUUGGAUGGCGGUCUUAAAAGUCAAGCUUUGUUUUUGGUUUAUUCAUUUAGGUUUUGGUUAACCACCCCAUCAACCUUGUCAUCUAGAUUUUAAGGAGUGUUUUUGGGGCUUAAUUGUGUAAUAUUAUCUAGAGAUGAAGAGCAGUGAGUUACCGAUGUUAAUUUGUGUGUUUUAGAAAGGUAUUUUCUAGACUGCUAUUUUAUCAUGCUUCAGUUCUCUCUUUUUUUGCUAAUAGAGUUUGACCUAUGUAUUUUUGGUAGGUUGGAGAGACGAAAGGGGGAUUUGUGAAGCAUUCAAAGUCAAGCAAGUUGUAUUGCUAUCUGCAACAAAGGCAAUUGAGAUGAUCCUUAGAGUUGAUGAAAUCAUAACUUGCGCUUCAAGGAAGAGAGAAGACAGAAUGUAGUGUCUGUUGUUUUGGUAGGUUGGAGAGACGAAAGGGGGAUUUGUGAAGCAUUCAAAGUCAAGCAAGUUGUAUUGCUAUCUGCAACAAAGGCAGUUGAGAUAUCUUAGAGUUGAUGAAAUCAUAACUUGCGCUUCAAGGAGAGAGAAGAACAGAAUGUAGUGUCUGUUGUUUUGGUAGGUUGGAGAGACGAAAGGGGGAUUUUGUGAAGCAUUCAAAGUCAAGCAAGUUGUAUUGCUAUCUGCAACAAAGGCAGUUGAGAUGAUCCUUAGAGUUGAUGAAAUCAUAACUUGCGCUUCAAGGAGGAGAGAAGACAGAAUGUAGUGUCUGUUGUUUGUUUGUUUUUUUAAAUGAUUUUUAUAGUGUUUCAUAAUUUUGUAUAAAAAAAAUAUAGUGUUACAUAAAAGUUUCAAAUAAAAAGUUGGUUUGAAUAGUUAUUCUUAAAAUGUUAUUUUAUAUAUUUUAUUAUUUUAUUGAAUUUUUUUAAUAUUAAAAUUUUAAAAAAAUUACUUAAUUUUGAAGUUAUUUCAAAUAGUUUUUCAUAAAAAUCAUUUUUGAAAUAUAACUUUUUAAAAAAUUGUGAUUUCGACUAUAUUUUGAUUUUCAAUCAUGUAUGUUUAUGUUAUAUAAUAUCAAAAUUAGUCUUUCAAUUCUAAAAAAAAAUAUAUAAAAAUUUGUAAUAUUUUACAAAAUGAUUUAUAAAAUCUAAUUUUUGAAAAUACAAAAAAAAAA